UACGGAGGGGGCAAGCGUUACUCGGAAUUAUUGGGCGUAAAGGGCGCGUAGGCGGUCGUGUGCGUCGAGGGUGAAAUCCCCGGGCUUAACCCGGGAACUGCCUUCGAUACGGCACGGCUUGAGUCCGGGAGAGGGGAGCAGAAUUCCCAGUGUAGCGGUGAAAUGCGUAGAUAUUGGGAGGAAUACCAGUGGCGAAGGCGGCUCCCUGGACCGGUACUGACGCUGAGGCGCGAAAGCGUGGGUAGCAAACAGG
This 253-nucleotide ribosomal RNA is filed under the name uncultured bacterium. RNAcentral's name for it is "partial 16S ribosomal RNA". It matches the Rfam family "Bacterial small subunit ribosomal RNA", at positions 524 to 776 of the family's 1533-position model. The record is from RNAcentral.